Molecule: unclassified non-coding RNA, 443 nt
Filed under: Bombus terrestris (buff-tailed bumblebee)
Lineage: Eukaryota; Metazoa; Arthropoda; Insecta; Hymenoptera; Apidae
Description: misc RNA ENSBTSG00005029864.1
Source: RNAcentral
UCGAUUUGUUCAUCCAUCGUCUUUCAUAAGAGAUAAAAAAUCAUUUUUUCGAAAAUAUUCCAGAACUGAUUGGUACAUGUAUGAAAAAACAAAAGUCGAAUAUUGCCGAUCUGUUAUCGAGACGAUACAUACGAUAUUUGAAGCAAACAAGUUCUGUCAAUGACGUUCUUGUUGAGACAAAAGUGUGUCAUUUGUCGGCGUGACAAAAAAGUAUCCGCAAAUAUGAAUAAUAUAAAAAUAAAGCAAAGAAUUUAAACCUUUAUGGCAUUCAUACAAAAAAAUUGUGAUCAUACUCGUGAAACGCGAUAAACACCCUCGUACAACUUGUUAGAUAAAUUUAACAUUUCGACGCACUUUCCUACUUUUUGUUUCCGACUUGUUUCUCGUUUAUGUAUACAUAGGCAAACUAAUAUGUAGUUACCAAAGAUGUAAAGGUUCAUCGA